RNAcentral lists this long non-coding RNA (17539 nucleotides) under Solanum tuberosum (potato). RNAcentral's name for it is "long non-coding RNA (STUB_LNC007652)". Lineage: Eukaryota; Viridiplantae; Streptophyta; Magnoliopsida; Solanales; Solanaceae. The record is from RNAcentral.
CCCGAGCUUAGCUGCAUUCGAGAAGUUGUCUGUAGCUACUAGUAUGCUAUUCAAGCUGAAAAAUGGGACAUCAAUACGUCUCUUUUCAUCUGCAGUGAUCAAAUCUUCACCGAAACUUUCUCUACGAGGAAAGUGCUCCAUAUGAUUCCCCAAAACAAUAUCUCUUGCUUCUAAAAUCAAACCAAUUAAGUAAUUAGUUAUGAACUUGAUCAUAAUAUACCUCCAAAAGCUGAACUUGAGAAAAAACAGAUGAGAUUUUUCAAUCGUUAUCACCUCUACUUCUUGUCACUCUAGUGUUCUGAUAAAUUAUAUAACUAAUGCUGCACAAAGUUAUAACUCCAAGAACUACAGAGAUGGAAAUAACAAGGGUUCUCUGAUUCCGUGAGGAUGCCAGCUUCGCAAUGAAUGAUCCUUGUGUUCCAAGUUCUGAAGCAAAUUUAAGAAAUGAAAUUUGUGUUGGUCAUAUAAAAGGUCAAAUGGAGAACAUAGGAAAAGGUAUCAUUGAACUAUUGGCAAGAAAAUCAUUUGUAGUAAGUAACAUUGAUCCAUAUACCUAAACUCGAGGAACAAUUUAAAAUCAAGCCAUUCCAUUUGUAAUCAGUUUGGCAUAUACAUCUUCUUUCUCCUUGUUUUGUCAUAUUGCAACUAGAAUUUGGCCAAUCAUUGCAAUCUUCUGAAGUCUUGCAAAAUGGCUCCAAUGGUGGUUUCCAACUAAUCAAUAUUAAAUCUUUCCCUCGACUAAAAGGUCCUGAAUUAAGAUUCUCUGUGGGAUUGUAACACCAGUUUAUCACCUUAAAAGGUGAUGACUGGUUGAACCAAGAAAUUCCUGUCACCGGUCCUUUGUCAUCACAAGUACCAACAGAUUCUUUAUGAGCUGCUUCUAUAACAAAUGUUUUGUUAUCUUUAUCAAAGUUAACGACAGUAUACUUGCCAUUCGAUGUGAGGAAGCUUACCUGACCAACUAAAUCAUCACAUGAGAAACUAUAAUACAAAGGGUCACCACAAUUUGGUUCACUGCUUAAUGGAUAGGGUAUUAGGUUUAUGCCACACGGCUUGCAAUUUCUCCUUGUUGCUUCUGCAAUGCACAAAAAUCAAAUUACUGUACUAUUUGUGGUCACACAUUAGCUUAAACUGUCUGUGUACGUAAGUUAAAUCGAAAAAGAAAUUACCAAUAUCGGAAAUGCUGACACGAACAGAGAUGUUGAAGCCACCAGCAUAGUUCUCCUGGAGAUACAUGAGACUAGUGACCCAAAUCCGGCAUACAGAAUCAUGGUAAGUAUAGGCCUGGCACUUACAGUUGCCUAGACAAAUUCUCCUGCAGUCCUCACGGGUACUAUUAUUACUGAAUAUCCUGUCUGGACUCUUGAAUUUCAUCGACCUCAAAUCCAAGAACGUGUCGAGCACUUCUACAUUGUCUUCAUUGCAAGAGCUAACUGACAUACUUGAACAACCACCUGAAAAUUCUCCUGCUUUUGAAUUAUCUGGAGGAUUGAGCUUAUACCCGGGCAAACAUUUGCAUACUGGCUCACGUUUGCUGUUACAAAUGCUAAAUUUCCCACAAUACUUAUACCAAUCACACUUAUCAUUUGGCGCUGACCACCUCAAAGACCAUCCACUGAUCUCCUUAUCCCAACCGUAGAAUUGUAUUUCCCCCGAGGAGUUCAUUAAGAGCCUAUACUUGUUAAAUGUUCCUAUCGAUUCCAAUGAAUUAUUAGUGGAGUUGGAUAACAAGUAGGCAACAUAACCAGGCAUCUCACUGAAACUUAACUUUCCUGAUUCCGCAGACCCUUUCCAGAGAAUUUUGCCCUGCUUUGGAAGUACUAUAACAUAUUCCUUGUCACUUGCUUGAUCUAAUCGGAAUAUGUAGUUCUCAUAUUUUGAAUCAGUCAAAUUCAAACUGCUAUCCAUUUUCAUACCUGGUAGGAAUGUAUCGGUUGGAUUGCGAAAACUCUGCCACAUUUCAGCUCCUUCAUCAACUAAAACUAAAUUCCCUGUAUCCAACAACUCUACUUUCCUGUUAGAACCACUACCUAAUUGUGUGGAGAAAUAAGUAUACCCAUUACUUAUAACUUUGAGAUUACCAUCUUCAACGACAACCGAAUUAUCCUCAUUCAUUAUUCUUUUACCCUGAAUCGAAUUAUUCCAAUUAGCAACCCAUACAACAGUUCUAGGACUUAAUUUGUAAUACCAUAUGCCUACAUAUUUGUUUAACCCGGCAUCAUCAGAAAAGAAUCCCAUUUCGAAAUUUUCUCCAGCAGAUACGAGGGUUUCGCCAUUGUCAACUAAUUUACUGCUUCCAUCAAUGGUGCUCCUCCUUGCAUCACAUCGAUGUAAAAUCAUCAAUGCUGCAGACAACAACAACAACAGAAAAUUACUUAAUUGCAUUGUUUUAUGGAAUUGUUGAUGAUUUGAAUGAAGAACAUAAAUUCAAAUAGGUAGCUCUUGCCCUCUAUUUCAUUUCAGUGAGACCCUACAUGACUAAUUGUUUCAUUGAGAAAAAAACUCCCCCUUUCCGACAUUGCCAGCUCUUUGCCAAUUGACCAAGUCAUUGGUCUUUUUCUAAUGUCUUAUAUUGUAUCGUAUUGUAUUGUCUAAAUUAAUAACGAUUUUGAUAGAUGAUAUUAUUUACAAUCACACAUUGGGAAUUUGGAUGAUGAACUUAUAAGAAAAGUGACAUGUGGUAGAGCUAUUAUGAAAAGGUUUAAAUAAUAAAUAAAAAUAAAAUAAGAAGAAAAUAUUAAAGUAACGAUGCAAUCACACCAAAUCGAUUAUUAUAUAAAAUGAGAGUUUUUGUUUUUACCUAAUGAUAGAUCUAAAAAUACGAUACAAUAAAAUUUUAGUAACAAUCAAAACAAAUAUUAUAUUUGAACUAAUAAUAUAAUACAGUACAACGAGUAACAACUGUCCAAACGUGUAAAGGGGUUAAACACUCUAAAUCGAGAAGUUCUUUAUUCUCUAGAACCCAAUACUAUUUUGUUACAAAUAGAAGGAUAUUAACUGUCUCACUCACUUUUUAAUAGUUAAUUAGUUUUUGGAUUACUUCAUCCAUCCCAAAAGCUUAGUUAUUUCCACUGGAUUUAUGUGAAACUUGUAAUCUAAUAUAGUGUUUAAAUUUAUGUUACUUCCUUCAUCUAUUUUUAUUUUUAUUAUUAUCAUACAUAAUAAACAAUAACAUUAGCAUAAACAUAUAUUAUUUCCAUAUUCAAUACUAGUAGCGAAUUUAUUUACUAAAAAUGAGGUAAGUAAACUUGUGGUUUCUCCGUGAAAUUAUUUAUUUUAUGUAUAUAUCUUUUGAAAUUUGUACAAUAUUAUUUGUUGAUAUUCAUAUUAUGAAAAGGCUAAAUGAUGUACUUAAUUAGAUAUUAGGUUAUUUAUUUAGAGGACUAGAGACUAAUUCUCAUUUAGUAUUUCUUUUUUCUUAUUUUAAAAAUCUUAAAUUCGUCCUCCGUUCAACACAAAUUUAUUGAUGAAAUAUAAGCCACAUACUAUAAUGUAUCUAUUUUCAAAGUGGAGUGAUUGAUACGUGAGAAAAAAUGUUAGGUCAAAGUCUAACUUUGAAACACUGAAAAGUUUCUCCUCAGUUCCUUUAUGAUCUUUUCUAAGCUGAACAACACUUCCACUCAUCUACUCCAUAUCUUCUUCUUCUAUCGUUUUUAUCGAGUGUUUUGAUAUAUGUCUUACAGUUUGACUAUUUUGGAUUCAUAUCGUAUAGGACUCCAUUCGAGGGAAAUAUUUCCUAAGACUCUGGUUAAAGAAUAAAAGUACAGUCUCAUCCACUACACCACAUUCUUUAGUGGUUACUCCAUAUCUUUUCUUUCAAUUCAAUGUGAAUCUUUCAUUUAAAUGUUUUAGGGCUGUCAAUGUUUCUUUAAAAUUGAUCAAACAGAUUAUUAGAGAUUUUAAAUAAAAAUUGGAUGAUCCUACGUAUUUUAUAAUCGUACCGAAUAAUUAUAUUAGGAUUUUAAUUUUAUAAAAGAAGUUGAAGAAAAUACCAAAAUGAACCUAAGGUUGUUUUCUCUCUCUCUUCCUUUUUAAAUGGUUGCAAUAUUUGAGCUAACUAUCAGUUUUAUAUUUUUAAAAUUUUAUAUUGAUACUACGUGUUAUCUUUUCAAAGUUAAUACGUCUAAAUUGAAAAGUUUCUAUUAGCAACUCAAUUGUCGUUCUAAAAUGGAACAAACUUUGUUAUUUCUUGCAAGUUAUCAUAAUUAAUUUUUAUGAUUCUAUGUGACGAAUGAAACAAAUCCGAUUUCCAAUACAAAUAAUGAUAUAUAUUAUAAUCACUUAAUACAAGUUACAAUGUAGAAUAUAUAUAACAAAGUAAUAACACACUAACUAAGGAGAGAUCAACAGAGAAGAAGUAACGAGAGAGAUGAGUACAAGACCAUAGAAAGGGAAUGAGAGAUAUCAGAAAGUCAAAGCUUUGACAUUAUAGUUUUCAUAACCGUUCUUUGUGAUCCCUAGUCUUUUUUAACAACAACUAAUUGAGUCUGGAUUCUGAAUAAAACUCUCCAAUAUUUUACUCAGCCUAACAAUAUAUCACCUUGAUCAGUGGUUUAGACCAUUGGCCCUUAUAGAAUCAUGAUGGUUCACAACAACAAAUAAGUCAUCCUCAAUGAUUCUGAUGUGAUAUAUAUUCAAAAAUAAAAAACCAAAAACUAAUUGAAAUGUAUCGAUACCGAAUAGAAACUUAAAUGAUUGAAACGGUUUAGAAAAAUCUAAUUUUUGUGCUACGAAAUGAAAGAAUAACUAAAAAGUUAAAAAUUAUAUAAGUUUCAUAAAUUAAUUGUUCUAACAUUUGACACGCCUAGUUUCGUCUUCCGUGAAGUGAUUUUUUUUUUAAAAAAAUGGGGGUAGGGAAGGGAAAAUUGGGAAGAGAUUAUAACGUGGGGAAGCAAACCCUCACCAAUAAGGUGAAAAUUUAAGUAACUAACCAACUGAGCUACUAAUAUUGUGAUUAGACAUCACUAUAAUCCUUGUCUGGUCCAACAUUUGUUUCGGACUUUAUUGUCGUAUCUCACAAAUAAUUCCAAUUUCCAGGAAGCUUUUUAUAAUGAAUUAUUUCCCCAACAAAUAAUGCAAUAUUUCAGGACUCUUCAUGGACACAUCACUAUUUUUAAAUAGGAGUACAACUUUGACUUUGUCUAAUAGACUAGUAACUAGUAAUUAAGCUUUAACAAUACUACGCUACUGUUUGGCCAUAGAAUUUCAAAUAUUUUUGACAAAUAUUAUCUGGGUGAAAUUUCACCAUUUGUUUGGUCAUAAUAUUUGAAAAACAUUUCACUUUUUUAGAAAAAAUAUGAUAUAUAUCCAUAAGUUUUAAAACUAAUCAUAAGUUUGUAUUAUAAGUCAUCUUCGUUGCAACAAAUAACAAGUAGUGUCCAUGACACUAGAGCAAUGUGUUAGUCUGGAGUCAGUGCAACAAGCAUCAUUCCAUACACCGUGAAGUAGACAAAACACAUGACUUUGUUAUCCUGAGCCGAUUGUUUAUCAUUUUCAUCAAGAACCAUAUCAUCACUUUCACAUUCACUGAAUAUUUCAUCACUACUUGGGUGUUCACGUACAGAAUUAUGUAAUACAGCGUAAACAACUACUAUAGAUGGUGUUUUUGUAAAAGAUAAAAGUUUGGUGUAGAAUUUGAAUUUUUAAAAGAUCCAAAAUAAUGAGAUUUGACCCAAAAACUAGUUUUUUUCUAGUAUUUGGAACUUUGGGUUAUUUGCCAGAAAUAUUUGCCAAAUAAUGCCAAAUCCCCCCCCCCAAAUUUUACUUGAGAAAUCUAUGAUCAAAUAGGUUCUACAUUAUUUGCUUGGUAAGGAUACGAUUUGCGUAUACCGCGUAUACUACAUUCUUUUCAGGUCCACUUAUAGAAUCACAUUGAAUAUGUUGUUGUUGUUCGUUUAUAUAGAAUGUUGGUUGCUGGAUGUAUACAUAAUACAUUAAUUGUGACAUUAUAUCCAAACAAAGUUUUUAUAGAACUUGUACAUAACUCUACUUGAUAAUAAAUUUUUUAAUUAUUCUAUCCGAGACUACAACACAAUCGGUUAUUUUGCGUGCCAAAAUAAUUUAACAGAAAUUCAAACUGAAAUUGAAGUAAAGAUAUACCGGCACAUUAUUGGCUUGUGUGCGUUAUGCAUUUAACUUAUAUGUAUAUUGAUUUCAUCGGCCUACUCGUUGAGUUAUUGUCAACCCAUUGUUGGAAGUGUUGUAUAGCUUAGAAGACGAAGAAGAUGUACUUGCACCAGCACUAUUUCUUCGUGCUAUAAAAGCUGGUUGAUUUGGUCUUGGUAGUGUUAUGCUUUCACCUCCAAGCAUAAAAACAACAUUUGACAUUACAGGACGCUCAGCUGGAUCUUCUUGAACACAUAGGAGUGCCACAUUAACGCACUUUAGCACUUCACUUUCAUCGCACGACUCAACUAUGGUUUGAUCCAUCAUGUCUAAUGCACUGUCUUUCAUCCACAGUCUCCAUACCUGUGAAAUGCUAAUUUUGAGUCAAUGAAAGCUUUAAGUAGAAUGAGAUGUAUAUUAAUGAGGGAAAUUUUGGUACUUACAUGACCAAUGAGGUUUACAUCUUCGAAAAAUUCCAUGUUUCUCCUCCCACUUACGAUCUCGAGUAGGACUACUCCGAAGGCAAAUACAUCAGACUUGAUUGAAAAGAGUCCCUCCAAUGCAUAUUCCGGAGACAUAUAGCCACUGUUUUUAGUGUUCCAGAAUAGGUUAUUUUAGCAUCUAGUUUGUGUAAACCAAUACAUUAGGUGUGUAUAUAUCUAUCUUCUUCCCACCAAAUCAAAGGUGAAGCAGAACUAAGAGACUUACUAUGUUCCAACGACUUUGUUAGUAUUGGCUUCUGUAUUUUUGCCUUCAACAAUCCUUGCCAAGCCAAAAUCUGAUAUUUUGGCAUUCAUUUCUUCAUCUAACAAUAUGUUGCUCGUCUUUAGAUCUCUAUGAAUGAUCCUUAGCCUCGAGUCUUGGUGAAGAUAAAGUAGCCCUCGAGCAAUACCCAAUAUAAUUUCAAAACGAAUCCUCCAGUCCAGUAAUCGACAGAAUGCAUGAUCUAAUUUCAAGGUUUGUAAGAUAACUUCAGAGAGAAUCAAUCAUAAAACUAUUACUACAACGAGUUUCAUGGUAGGGAGGGAAGUAUACUAACCGAAUAGAAACGUAUCCAAGCUUUUGUUGGGCAUAUAUUCAUAUAACAAAAUCUUUUCAUUUCUCUCAACACAAUAGCCUAGAAGCCUAACUAAAUUUCUGUGCUGCAGUUUGGCAAUCAACAUUACUUCAGUUUUAAAUUCUUCAACACCUUGUCCAGAAUUACUUGACAACCUUUUAACUGCCAUAUCUGUACCUCCGAGAAACUUACCCUGCAUAAAUAUAUCUCCGGACUGUUAUAUAAUGAAAACGAAAGAAAAAAAUCUGAAUGGUAAAACAACUUAGAACAGAAGAAGGAAAGAAAAAUAAAGUUGCAAAACCUUAUAAACAGGUCCAAAUCCACCUCUCCCGAGCUUACUUGCAUUUGAGAAGUUUUCAGUAGCAACUAGUAUGCUAUUCAAGCUGAAAAACGGGACAUCAAUCCGUUUCUUAUCAUCUUCAGUGAUUAAAUCUUCAUCAAAACUAUCUCUAUGAGGCAAGUACUCCAUAGGCAUUCCCAAAACAAUAUCUCUGGCUUCUAUAAUCAAAACAAUUGAAGUGAUUACGAUAUCCAAAAGUUGGAGUAGUUGAGAAAAAGCAGAUGAAAUUUCUACAUUGUUACCUUUACUUCUUGCCGAUCUUUUCAGAUAAAUUAUAUAAAUAAUACCACACAGAACCAUAACUCCAAGAAUUACAGAGAUGGAAAUAACUAGGGGUUGCUGAUUCCGUGAGGAUAUCUGCAUCGGUGUAUUGUUCAAUGGUUCUUGUGGUCUAACAUCUGAAAACAAUUCAAUAAAUAAAACAAGUGUUGGUAUCAGAAAGGUAAAAUGAAGAAUUUAUGGUCACACAUCAGCUUCUUACCAAUAGGGGGCCAGAGGCGUAUCCAGGAUCUCAAGAACAUGGGGGCACCAUUAUCUUCAAAAUAGGCAAUUAAUUCAAUUAUAUAAAUUUUACGGUGAGAACAAGUUGACGAGCAAGUAGGUAGUAACAAUCUUUAUAUAGUAAUAUAUUAGCAACAAACAUCAUUCACUUACAAUUGUCCUCGACGAGUUUUCAUAUUUUGAAAACGGUCAAUAAUGGCAUCAUUACUUACAUUUUUAAAUAUACUACGCUCUAUAUAGCAAACUAAACAACCAUUCAAAAGAUCUUCAUCCAUCCUAUUACGCAAAUCAUUCUUUAUGUACUUCAUUGAUGAGAAUGCUCUUUCCACGCUUGCGGUAGCAACAGGAAUAAUCAAAGUUAGCUUCACAAGUAGAUACACAAGUGACCAAGUUUGAUCUAGUUUUGUCUCUAUCAUCACUUUUGCAAGAUCCUUGAUUCCCUUCAAGUUGAGAAACUUGCUAUCACACUUUUGAGCAUAGACAAUAAAAUCAUCAAGUUGAAAAUUGAGUUCCCGAAGCUCUUUAUCACCAAACUCACUUGGGUAGUACUCGGCUAGUUUCAUUAUCCUAUCCUUGUGAAAAUUAGCAAAUGAAUCAACCGGACUCAAACUAGCCAUACCGAGGAGCAAGUCACUAGUCACCACAUCAAAACGAUUAUUGAGUUCUUGAAGUGCCAAAUCAAUGACGGCAUAAAAUACUUCCACACGAAAGUGAUGCAAAUAUGAAAUAUUGGACCUCUUACGCUUCGACUUCCCAUUAGAGUAGUCUUCAUUCAUUUUGGGAAUUGAAAUUCCAUGUUUACCACAAAAUAAGCUAACCUCAUCCAUCAUAGAGUCCCAUUCAUCCUCUCUCAUCAUUUGCAAUCGUUUCUUUGAAAGGUCAAGCAAUCCCAUAGCAUUAACAAUAUCUUGAUCUUUCUUUUGUAAAACUUUAUUCAACUCAUUCGUCAAUAGCAACACCUUAAACAUCAAGUGCAACAUAAAGACAAAUUCAAAUUCAUGAAUCUUGCUCAAAAGAUUUUCCGCCGUAAAUCUAUCAAGAUGAUAUGGACAAUCACGUUUCAUAUCCUUAAGCACAUUAACAAUUGAAGAAAAAAGAAUCAGGAAAUUGUCCAAGGUUUUAAAAUGAGACCCCCAACGAGUAUCACCCGGUCGUUGGAGGCCACGUUCUUGAUUCAAACCUUGCCCUGUAUGAACUUCUCCAAAUUUAAGCAACUCUUCCAACUUAUCUUCUUGAUGUUGUCGAAGUGAAUCUCUGCGUUUAAAUGAAGCUCCAAUAGUAUUCAAAAUAUUAGUGAGAACAUAAAAAAAAUUAUCCACAUCCGAAUUCUUUUUGGAAAGACCUACAAGUGCCAAUUGCAAUUGGUGAGCAAAACAGUGAAUAGAAUAUGCAGAUGACGUAUCUUGUAAAAUCAAAGACUUGAGACCAUUUAUUUCCCCUUGCAUAUUACUAGCCCCAUCAUAACCUUGACCACGUAUUUUGGAUGUACAUAAUGAGUGAUCCAAAAGCAAAGAAUAAAUUGCCUUUUUUAAUGAUUGAGAAGAUGUAUCAUUUACGUGGACAAUACCCAAGAAUCGCUCUAUCACCAUUCCACUUUUGUUGACAUAUCUCAAAAUUAGAGCCAUUUGCUCCUUAUGAGAAACAUCCUUUGAUUCAUCAACUAAUAUUCCAAAAUAAUCACCGUCCAAGUCUUCAAUGAUAGCCUUAGUUAUUUCUUUAGCACAAGCCUCCACAAUAUCUUUUUGAAUUGUCGGACAAAUCAUCAUAUCAUUUUGUGGAGCAUUACCUAAUAUUACUCUUCCCACAUCAAAACUUCUAUCCCCAUACCAUUUCAAAAGUUCAAGAAAAGCACCCUUAUAUUCGGAACCUUCACUUUCAUCAUGUCCACGAAAUGGAAAUCCCGAUGUCAAGAGAAAUCUUGCUACAUCAAUUGAGGCAUUUAAACGCAUCCGAUAAUCACUUCUUGCCUUUUCACUUUGCUUGUCAAAAGAAGAUUGGAUCAAUUGUCGGUGGUUUUUCAAAUCUUGCAUCCUAUUGAAACAUUUAUGAUGGAUACUAUUUACCUUACCAACAUGUUUUUUGAAUCUUUCUAAAGCUUUGUUCCAACACCUAAAACCAUCUCUUGUAAAUGAAUCUCCGGCAUUUCCACGACUUUCAAGUUCAUUCUUGAACAAAAAACAACACAAACAAAAUGUUGUGUCUGCUUUAAUGCUAUAUUCCAACCAUUGAGAUCUUCUCUUAAACCAAGUUGGUCGAAAUUGACGCAUUUUAUCUCCAAACUUAGUUUUAGGGAAGAUAUGAUCAACAAGUUGACAUGGCUUUUUUAGAAUGUAAUACCUCCUUACCGCAUUUCGAAUAUUAGGACAAUAAGAUGAAAUAGGCAUUCGAUCUUUGGGAUCUGCUUCCAGAGAUUUAAAAUCAAGUAUAUUAUCCAUAUUUGAAAGUGGAAAAGAAUUUGUAUGUCUUUGAACUUCCGGAGCAACUUGUGAACUCACGAAUGGUUGAUUAGAGCUAGAACUUGGUUGGCCAUCUUUUGGCUUUGGUAACUUGAUGAGAAACUUAUCCAUUUGUGAUUUGAUGAAUUGAUUGUAAGAAUUAUUUUACCUACAAAAUUAAAUAUUCACACUUCUAUUCAAUCUUAUAAAAACAAAAUAAUUUUUAAAAAAUAUUAGCACAAAUAACAAGUUUACUAAUAAAAGAAUCACAAUUAUUAGAUAACUAUUUAGAAAUCAAGAAAUUCUUAUAAAUUUAAAUAUUCAAGCAAUCAAAUAAUGGAACCACUUCAUAAAUCAAGAAAAACAUAUAAAACAAAUAAAGUACAUUAAUAAAUAAUUAUUUUUUUUAGAUAACAUACCUUGUUACUUGUUCUCAAAUCUCACUUCUACUUCACCAUGAACAACAAAGUGGAAAUGUGGAAUGAAGCCAAAAGAAGAACAAUAUGAUGUCUUUACUCCUUUUUACCUUUUAGUUUAGGGCUUUGAAAAGUCAAAAGAAAAAGUUAAAAAAAAAUAAUAAGAAAAACGUCUAAAUAAAGAAGGAAAGGAGAAAAAGAAAGUAAAAAAUAUAAUUUGACUUUAUUGACACUUCUAGCUUAAGGUCUAGACAUAGCUAAUGCAACCUAAAAAUAUGGGUAUUUGAACCUCUUUUUAUUUAUAAAUUAUUAAAAAGAUCUAUGAAAAGUGGUACAUUUUGUUAUAUUAAUUAAAAAUUAAAAAUGUUAAUGUGGAUAGAAAAAUUUGAACCACAAAUCUAUAAGUUAUGCACCCCCUAUUUGUACUUACUUAUCAAUAUACUAGAGUAUUCUUUUUAACCUUGGGUUCACCAAUACAAAUUUAAAAAGAUAAUUAGAAAAAUAGUAGUAUUAUAUAGGGGUUAGGAAGGGGAGGAUGGGUGCAUGUGAACCCCCUCCCCUUCACAUACAUACGCCUCUGUAGGGGGCACGCGGACAGAGAGGUUGAAGCCACCAGGGUAGUUCUCCUGGAGAUUAUUGAGAUUCGACCCCCAAAACCAGCAUCCAGAAUUGUUAUAAUAUGUAUAUGCUUUGCAUGAGCAGCUGCUUAAACAAUGACUCAUGCAGUUCUCACUGGUAUUAAUCUUUUUAUCUGUCCAAUUUGAAUUUCCAAAUUUCAUUGAGCUCAGAUGCACAAAUGUAUCUUCUUUGCAUGAGUUAUCUGAUAUUCUCGAACAUCCACCUGAAUAUUCCCCGUCUCCAUUAUCUUCUGGAGGAUCACUCUGAAACCCAGGCAAACAGCUGCACACUGAACUUCCAUUGCUGUUACAAAUCUCAAAUGUCCCACAUUUUCUAAACUCGUCGCAUUCAUCUUUUGGGGCAGACCAUAACAAGGACCAUCCACUCUGGUUAUCCCAUAAGUAGAAUUGUAUUUCUCCAGAGGAGUUCAUCAGGAGUCUAGUACCUUCGAAAAUAGAAUCUUUGCUACUAUGAUUGGCUAACCUUGAAAAAUCAAUCGGAGUAAAACUACGAUUAUUAUUGAAUAAUGUUCUUGUCGCUUCCACUGAAUUAUUGAAUAAUGUUCUUCUCGCUUCAACUGAAUUAUUGGAUAAAAAGAAGGUUACAAAAGAGGGCAUAUCAUUGAAUCUGAAGAAUUCAUAAGCAGUUGAUUUCGCAAACCCUCCUACAGACCCUUGCCAGUGAAUUUUAUGCAUUCCAUUCUCAUCAACUAUGACAUAUUUUUUGUUGUUUGUUUGAUCUAAUUGGAAUUUGUAGUUGCCAUUUUUUGAAUCAAUCAACUUCAAAUUACUAUCCAUUUUCAUGCCUGGUAGAAAUGUAUCGGUUGGAUUCCGAAAACUCUGCCACAUUUUAGUUCCUGAUUCAUCAAAUAAAACCAAAUUCCCUGUAUCCAACAACUCUGCUUUAACGCCAGAGUUACCAUCUACUUCUGAGGAGAAAUAAAUGUGUCCACUAAUAUUCAAAACUUUGAGCUUACCAUCUUCAACGACCAUGGAAACAUUCUCCUUAUUUUUUGUUGAAUUCUGAAUCGAAUCAUUCCAAUUAGCAACCCAUACAACAGUUCGAGGACCUUUCUUGUUAUACCAUAUGCCUACAUACCAGUUUAACCCGGCAUCAUCACAAAAGAAUCCCAUUUCGAAUUUUUUUCCAGCAGAUACCAGUGUUUCCCCGUUGUCUAUUAACUCACUCCCUCCAUCGAUCGUGCUCCUUGCAUCACAUCCACAUAUAAUCACCAACACUGCAAACAACAACAAGAGAAAAUUACUCAUUUGCAUAACUUAAACUUUUCCAGCAACUACUUGAGUCAGUAACAUUUUUUAUGGUAUGAAAAAGUAAACAUUCACUUCAAAUGGAACAUAUACUAGUACUAGUAAAUGCUUGAUUGCGAGUACAGUCAACUCACCAAGUCAAUGGUCGUCCUUAAAUUAUUUUAGCUUUUAUUUUCAGCCAACCAUUGAGAUUUUAUAUGAUAAAACUUUGUUUCUAUUACUCAAUGAUCACUCAACUAUUUGUAAUCAACUUAUAAUACUAUAAUUGAGUGACUUUUUGAAUAAUAAAUGGUAUGCUUUGGAGAAUUGAUAUGUAGAUAUAGAGUAAAUUACUUCCUCUGUCCAAAAUGUAACUAGGGUGUUUCAGAAACUAAAUUAAUUCUUGAUUUCAUUUGUACAAGAUCAUCAUAUUAUUUUACAUUUAGAUACUACUCUUAGAAUUACUUUCUAAUUCUCAUUUACUGUUUGGUGUGACUUCACAUAAAAACGAAGAAAAGUAUUCAAAAUGUUUAAUAAUUUAGGACUAGUAUUAUUGACAGAAAUAUAACCACAUAUAUUGUUUUCAUUUUUAUAAGAUGAAAGAAAUGAGACGACGAAAAAUGUAAGUCAAGUCAACUUUGGAGUACAGGAUUUUCUCGUACUACUAUAGUUAAUUCUUUAAUUUAUUAUCUCUUCGUUUAUUUUCUCUAUCGACAAAUAAGACGUAUGGUCCUAUCUCACAAAAUGAUUCCUGGAAUCAAAUUAUUUUUAUUUUAUUUUUUAAAUGGACAAAGACUAAAAUCCAGUUCUACAUAUUUUCAGACGAUAUAAUUAUAAAUUAUGUCAUUUAACUUUGUUUAAGUUACACUCUGUUUGUAUCAUUGUUACUCAUUUAUUUGACCCAAAUACUAGUUUUUUCUAGUAUUUGGGAAUUUGGGUUAUUUGUCAGAAAUAUUUGCCAAAUAAUAUCAAAUUGUAUGGACAAACACUAUUUGCUAAUUUUUUCCCCAAAUUUUACUUGAGAAAUCUAUGGCCAAACGGGUCCUACAUUAUUUGCUUGAUAAGGAUAAGAUCUGCGUAUACUCGUUUAUAUAGAACUAGUCCUGGACACGUGAGUCCCGUGAAAUGUGUGAAUUACUGUCAAAAUCACAUUUUAAUCAGUAUCACAAGCUAUUUUAAAAAAUACAAUUUAAAAUAGAUGAACAAUCAAUGUAUUCAAAUAACUUCUUUAUUGUAUAUCAAAUGAUUAGACAUUUGAUGAACCUGCAAAAUUUAGUUUGGUAUCUAAAAUAAUGAGUUACAUUUUUAUGUUAUUAGGUCCAAACAUAUGAUAUAUUAGUAUGUGCAAAAAUGAAUAACAAAAAUGAUUAAUGGUUCUCAUUUAAAUGCACAAUAAGAAAACUUCUACAUAUACCCUAAAUUGAUAUCUAUACUUCAAGUCCAACACUCAUACAAUUUUAAAUGAUUCAUGGAAGAAAAAUUUUAUAAUGGAGAAAGAAAGCAAGAACGAAAAGUUGAGGAUAUUGCAAAGAAAGUCUUCAUGCCCUGAAAAGAAAACUUUGUUAUUGUUAGAGACAACAUAUCAACAUUAGACUGUUCAUUGUUUAAUACUACACAUGUAUUAAAUUUACUCUCUUUUGCUAUUUUUUCUUCUUGAUUACCAAUUUUUAGCAUUUUUUUGGUUAUCUGAACUUGCAACUUCUAACUCUCUUAUUUUCUCAUGUUGAAUUGAGUAAUUUUCUUAAUUCGAUUUCCUAUUGUGAGUCUCCAUCUUUGCAAGUUGGUUCUUAAAUAGCAUUAGGAAAUGACCCUUUAAAUUCAAAUUUUAAUUCUGAAAUUGAUUUCUACAUUAAAGUGAUGAAUGACUUUCCAUAUCAUAACUUUUCAAAUUCUUCCAUUAUGAGAUUUAUUAUUAUGAUUAAGAGCAAUAUCAAUGUACUCAUUUAUAUAUAUAUAUAUAUGAUAUGAUGUUGGUUGCUGGAUGUAUGGAAAAAAUCCUUUUGGCCAGAAAAUUUGGUCAGAAUUUGGCCAGAAUGGUAAAAUAACAUAUUUCACACUAUGUUAUUUUACAUUUUUAACCUUUUAACUUUAAUACCUUUUAAUUUAAAAAAUGGAAAGAAGAUCCGUUUAUUUUAAAAUAAAAGAAUAUUAUAGACUUUUAAAUUUUCUGACCAAAUUUUCUGGCCAUUUAGCAUUAACCCUGGAUGUAUACAUAAUACAUUAAUUGUGACAUUAUAUCCAAACAAAGUUUUUAUAGAACUUGUACAUAACUCUACUUGAUAAUAAAAAUUUUAAUUAUUCUAUCGAGACUAUAACACAAUCAGUUAUUUAGCGUGCCAAAAUAAUUAACAGAAAUUCAAACUGAAAUUGAAGAAAAGAUAUACCGGCACAUUGUUGGCUUAUGUACGUUAUGCAUUUAACUUAUAUAUAUCGAUUUCAUCGGCCUACUUCUUCAGUUAUUGUCAACCCAUUGUUGGAAUUGUUGUAUAGCUUAGAAGACGAAGAAGAUGUACUUGCACCAGCACUAUUUCUUCGUGCUAUAAAAGCUGGUUGAUUUGGUCUUGGUAGUGUUAUGCUUUCACCUCCAAGCAUAAAAACAACAUUUGACAUUACAGGACGCUCAGCUGGAUCUUCUUGAACACAUAAGAGUGCCACAUUCAUACACCUUAGCACUUCAUUUUCAUCGCACGACUCAAUUAUGGUUUUAUCUAUCAUGUCUAAUGCACUGUCUUUCAUCCACAGUCUCCAAACCUGUGAUAAGUAAGUUUGAGUCAAUGAAGGCUUUAAGUAGAAUGAGAUGUAUAUUAAUGAGGGAAAUUUUGGUACUUACAUGACCAAUGAGGUUUACAUCUUUACAUCUUCGAAAAAUUCCAUGUUUCUCCUCCCACUUAUAAUCUCGAGUAAGACCACUCCGAAGGCAAAUACAUCAGAUUUGGUUGAAAAGAGUCCCUCCAUUGCAUAUUCCGGAGACAUAUAGCCACUGUUUUUAGUGUUCCAGAAUAGGUUAUUUUAGCAUCUAAUUUGUGUAAACCAAUACAUUUUGGUGUGUAUAUAUCUAUCUUCUUCCCACCAAAUCUAAGGUGAAAGCAGAACUAAGAGACUUACUAUGUUCCAACGACUUUGUUAGUAUUAGCUUCUGUAUUUUUGCCUUCAACAAUCCUUGCCAAGCCAAAAUCUGAUAUUUUGGCAUUCAUUUCUUCAUCUAACAAUAUGUUGCUCGUCUUUAGAUCUCUAUGAAUGAUCCUUAGCCUCGAGUCUUGGUGAAGAUAAAGUAGCCCUCGAGCAAUACCCAAUAUAAUUUCAAAACGAAUCCUCCAGUCCAGUAAUCGACAGAAUGCAUGAUCUAAUUGCAAGGUUUGUAAGAUAACUUCAAAGAGAAUCAAUCAUAAAACUAUUACUACAACGAGUCUCGUGGUAGGGAGGGAAGAUUACUAACCGAAUAGAAACGUAUCCAAGCUUUUGUUGGGCAUAUAUUCAUAUAACAAAAUCUUUUCAUUUCUCUCAACACAAUAGCCUAGAAGCCUAACUAAAUUUCUGUGCUGCAGUUUGGCAAUCAACGUUACUUCAGUUUUAAAUUCUUCAACACCUUGUCCAGAAUCACUUGACAACCUUUUAACUGCCAUAUCUGUACCUCCGAGAAAGUUACCCUGCAUAAUUAUAUCUCCAGACUGUUAUAUAACGAAAACGAAAGAAAAAAAUCUGAAUGGUAAAACAACUUAGAACAGAAGAAGGAAAAAAGAAAAGAAAAUUGCAAAACCUUACAAACAGGUCCAAAUCCACCUCUCCCGAGCUUACUUGCAUUUGAGAAGUUUUCGGUAGCAACUAGUAUGCUAUUCAAGCUGAAAAACGGGACAUCAAUCCGUUUCUUAUCAUCUUCAGUGAUUAAAUCUUCAUCAAAACUAUCUCUAUGAGGCAAGUACUCCAUAGGCAUUCCCAAAACAAUAUCUCUGGCUUCUAUAAUCAAAACAAUUGAAGUGAUUACGAUAUCCAAAAGUUGGAGUAGUUGAGAAAAAGCAGAUGAAAUUUCUACAUUGUUACCUUUACUUCUUGCCACUCUUUUCAGAUAAAUUAUAUAAAUCAUACCACACAGAACCAUAACUCCAAGAAUUACAGAGAUGGAAAUAACUAGGGGUUGCUGCAUCGGUGUAUUGUUCAAUGUUCCUUGUGUUCCAACUUCUGAAGACAAUCCAAUAAAUGAGACAAGUGUUGGUAUCAGAAAGGUAAAAUGAAGAAUUUAUGGUCACACAUCAGCUUCUUACCAUUAGGGGGCAUGCGGACAGAGAGGUUGAAACCAUCAGUGUAGUUCUCCUGGAGAUUAUUGAGAUUCGACCCCCAAAACCAGCAUCCAUAAUUGUUAGAAUAUGUAUAUGCAUUGCACGAGCAGUUGCUUAAACAAUGACUCAGGCAGUUCUCACUGGUAUUAAUCUUUCUAUCUGUCCAUUCUGGAUUCACAAAUUUCAUUGAGCUCAGAUCCAUAAAUGUGUCUUCUUUGCAAGAGUUAUUUGAUAUUCUCGAACAUCCAGCUGAAUAUACCCCGUCUCCAUAAUAUUCUUGAGGAUCACUCUGAAACCCAGGCAAACAUCUGCACACUUGCCUGUCUUUGCUGUUACAAAUCUCAAAUUUCCCACAUUGUCUGAACUCGUCGCAUUUGUCUUUUGGGGCUGACCAUAACGUGGACCAUCCAGUCUCAUUAUCCCAAAAGGUGAAAUGUAUUUGUCCAUCGGUCAUCAGGAGUCUAGAAUGUUUGUAAAUAGAAUCUUUGUUACUAUGAUUGGCUAAGCUUGAAAUAUUCAAUAAUGUUCUUCUCGCUUCAUCUGAAU